GGUUAAUUCCGAUAACGAACGAGACUCUAGCCUAUUAAAUAGGUGCGUGGUUCUCUGCACCUUGCACCCUUCUUAGAGGGACAAGCGGCUCCUAGCCGCACGAAACAGAGCAAUAACAGGUCUGUGAUGCCCUUAGAUGUCCGGGGCCGCACGCGCGCUACACUGAAGGAAGCAGCGUGUUUUUAUCCCUGUCUGUAAAGACUGGGUAACCCGUGGAACCUCCUUCGUGAUUGGGAUAGGGGCUUGCAAUUGUUCCCCUUGAACGAGGAAUUCCCAGUAAGCGCGAGUCAUAAGCUC
Molecule: ribosomal RNA, 297 nt
Filed under: Escherichia coli
Lineage: Bacteria; Pseudomonadati; Pseudomonadota; Gammaproteobacteria; Enterobacterales; Enterobacteriaceae
Description: partial 16S ribosomal RNA
Rfam family: Eukaryotic small subunit ribosomal RNA
Source: RNAcentral